AACAAACGCUGGCGGCGUGCCUAAUACAUGCAAGUCGAGCGAGGAAAGCUUUCGGGUGAGUACUAGUGGCGCACGGGUGAGGAAUAUAUGGGUAAUCUGCCCUCGAGUUGGGGAUAACCAGUCGAAAGACUGGCUAAUACCGAAUAAGACCACAGGAUCUGCGGAUCUAGGGGUUAAAGGUUUUUCGCUUGAGGAUGAGCCCAUACGGGAUUAGCUAGUUGGCGAGGUAAUGGCUCACCAAGGCUACGAUCCCUAACUGGUCUUAGAGGAUGAUCAGUCACACUGGAACUGAGACACGGUCCAGACUCCUACGGGAGGCAGCAGUAGGGAAUAUUGCACAAUGGGGGAAACCCUGAUGCAGCGACGCCGCGUGAGUGAUGAAGGCCUUCGGGUCGUAAAGCUCUGUCGUAUGGGACUAACACAAUGAAGGUACCAUGCAAGAAAGGAUCGGCUAACUUCGUGCCAGCCGCCGCCGUAA
Molecule: ribosomal RNA, 478 nt
Filed under: uncultured bacterium
Lineage: Bacteria
Description: partial 16S ribosomal RNA
Rfam family: Bacterial small subunit ribosomal RNA
Source: RNAcentral